GACGAACGCUGGCGGCGUGCUUAACACAUGCAAGUCGAACGGACAGGCCCUGCUUUUGUGGGGUGCUCGUGUGGCGAACGGGUGAGUAACACGUGAGUAACCUGCCCUUGACUUUGGGAUAACUUCUGGAAACUGGGGCUCAUAUCGGAUAGGAGCUCCUGCUGCAUGGGGGGGGUUGGUAAGAUUCGGCGGUUGGGGAUGGUCUGGCGGCUUAUCCGCUUGUUUGUGGAGUAGGGGCUUACAAAGGCUUCGACGGGUAGCCUGCAUGAGAGGGUGACCGGCCACAUGAGGACUAAGAGACGGACCAGACGGCAACGGGAGGCAACGGUGGGAAAUAUUGCACAAUGAGCGGAAGCCAGAGGCAGCAACGCCGCGUGCGGGAUGACGGCCUUCGGGUGGUAAACCACUGUCGCCGGAGACAAAGCCGGAGUGACGGUAAUGAAUAAAGAAGCACCGGCUAACUACGUG
This 468-nucleotide ribosomal RNA is filed under the name uncultured bacterium. RNAcentral's name for it is "partial 16S ribosomal RNA". It matches the Rfam family "Bacterial small subunit ribosomal RNA", at positions 28 to 507 of the family's 1533-position model. The record is from RNAcentral.